RNAcentral lists this transfer RNA (75 nucleotides) under Chlorolobion braunii. Its description in RNAcentral is "tRNA-Gln". It matches the Rfam family "tRNA". From Rfam's summary of the family: Transfer RNA (tRNA) molecules are approximately 80 nucleotides in length. Lineage: Eukaryota; Viridiplantae; Chlorophyta; Chlorophyceae; Sphaeropleales; Selenastraceae. The record is from RNAcentral.
UUGGGGCGUCGCCAAGUGGUAAGGCAUCGGUUUUUGGCACCGACAUUCGCAGGUUCGAAUCCUUCCGCCCCAGUC